RNAcentral lists this ribosomal RNA (419 nucleotides) under uncultured bacterium. RNAcentral's name for it is "bacterial SSU rRNA". It matches the Rfam family "Bacterial small subunit ribosomal RNA", at positions 355 to 775 of the family's 1533-position model. The record is from RNAcentral.
UGGGGAAUCUUGCGCAAUGGCCUAACGGCUGACGCAGCGACGCCGCGUGAGGGAUGAAGCUCCUCGGAGUGUAAACCUCUGUUGCCCGGGACGAAUAGCGGAUUUUUCCGACUUGACGGUACCGGGUGAGGAAGCACCGGCUAACUCCGUGCCAGCAGCCGCGGUAAUACGGGGGGUGCGAGCGUUGUCCGGAAUCACUGGGCGUAAAGGGCGCGUAGGUGGCUUUGUAAGUUUGCGGUGAAAGCCCGGGGCUCAACCCCGGGUCUGCCGUGGAUACUGCAAGGCUUGAGUACUGUAGAGGCAGGUAGAAUAUCGGGUGUAGCGGUGGAAUGCGUAGAGAUCCGAUAGAAGACCGGUGGCGAAGGCGGCCUGCUGGGCAGUAACUGACACUGAGGCGCGACAGCGUGGGGAGCAAACAG